This is a long non-coding RNA of Ochotona princeps (American pika), 561 nucleotides long. RefSeq lists it as uncharacterized. Lineage: Eukaryota; Metazoa; Chordata; Mammalia; Lagomorpha; Ochotonidae. The transcript has 4 exons. The record is from RefSeq and is a predicted model, not a curated record.
CCCCGAGCGGCUCCCCGCCGUCUGCCCGCCGCGCUCUGUUCUGGCGGGCUGGGAGCAGUCGCCAACGCUACCGGCCUCGAGGCUCCGCCCACUUAGAGCUCCCGCACCCGAGACGCCGCGCGCGGCGCUCCAGGCCUGGAAAAGCUGCCAUCUGGUAUGUGGAGGGCAUGCUCAGUGCUUUCUCACAAGAUCAACCUAUCAACCCCUUCUGCACUUAGGAUAGAUUACAACUGGAUUCCUUAAAACAGAUUCUUCUGAAGACUGAACCCAUGCAUCUGAGGACUAUGUCUGAGAAUGUGGAGUUUUAAACAAGUAACUUCCCUGCUUCUUGCUGAUGGUUUUGCUGUUUAAAAUGGCCCCCAAACACAGUGCUCAAGCACUGCCUAGUGUCCUAGGAAGGCUGUGCUGUGCCAAGGAAAUACUUGUGUGUCAGGAGGCAAGUCCCAACUCUCCUCUCCUUGGGCGUGGGCUGGUCUUUGUGCCUCCGUGAUGCAGAGUGUGGAAAGGCAAACACAAACGUUACAGCAGAGACCGGUGGCAGGUGCCGCCUCUCGUUGCCAU